Xyrichtys novacula (pearly razorfish) is the source of this 416-nucleotide non-coding RNA. The record is from the annotation of a GenBank genome assembly. NCBI's taxonomy places the organism in Eukaryota, Metazoa, Chordata, Actinopteri, Labriformes, Labridae.
GACUAUACGAACAGCCAAUGAAAAGGGGAGUUUCUCCGGGUCUGAACCAAUCAUGUUCUGAAUUAGAACCAAGUAUCAACCAACUGCAGCGUUGUAGCAGACAGCAGCUCCACCCAACCAUAGCACUUUAACAGGUGAAGCCGACAGCACUGUUGGUGAGAAACAAAGAAAAUGAGCGCUACCCCCGACAGAAAUGACCAUGAAGGCUCAACAGAUGACCACAUCAAUGUCAACCACAACACUGGCGUUAGGAAAACGUCGGUGGUGUGGAGGUAUUUUGGUUUUUGGAGGUCGGACAUGAAGCAGAGUAAUGUGGACUGUAAAUUAUGUCGAGUACAUGUUAAAUUUUAUUUAAGAGUAACGGGGAAUAUUUAAGAUUGACAAGUGAUUUUUUCAAUAUCAUGAUAAACUUUCCG